Cricetulus griseus (Chinese hamster) is the source of this 148-nucleotide unclassified non-coding RNA. Lineage: Eukaryota; Metazoa; Chordata; Mammalia; Rodentia; Cricetidae. The record is from Ensembl.
AAAAACUUGAAUUUUUUGGUGGGUGUUACAAAUCUAAUUCGAUGAUAGAUGAAAGCAUAGCUUUCUAAUUCAUUUCAGCUUUAGUUUAGCAGACCCCUCAGAUACCCUCAUUUCCUUUACUUUGGGAAAUAUCCCCCUUACACAUUAA